GAUGAACGCUGGCGGCGUGCCUAAUACAUGCAAGUCGAGCGAACGGACGAGAAGCUUGCUUCUCUGAUGUUAGCGGCGGACGGGUGAGUAACACGUGGAUAACCUACCUAUAAGACUGGGAUAACUUCGGGAAACCGUAGCUAAUACCGGAUAAUAUUUUGAACCGCAUGGUUCAAAAGUGAAAGACGGUCUUGCUGUCACUUAUAGAUGGAUCCGCGCUGCAUUAGCUAGUUGGUAAGGUAACGGCUUACCAAGGCAACGAUGCAUAGCCGACCUGAGAGGGUGAUCGGCCACACUGGAACUGAGACACGGUCCAGACUCCUACGGGAGGCAGCAGUAGGGAAUCUUCCGCAAUGGGCGAAAGCCUGACGGAGCAACGCCGCGUGAGUGAUGAAGGUCUUCGGAUCGUAAAACUCUGUUAUUAGGGAAGAACAUAUGUGUAAGUAACUGUGCACAUCUUGACGGUACCUAAUCAAAAAGCCACGGCUAACUACGUG
Molecule: ribosomal RNA, 497 nt
Filed under: uncultured bacterium
Lineage: Bacteria
Description: partial 16S ribosomal RNA
Rfam family: Bacterial small subunit ribosomal RNA
Source: RNAcentral